This 406-nucleotide ribosomal RNA is filed under the name uncultured bacterium. RNAcentral's name for it is "partial 16S ribosomal RNA". It matches the Rfam family "Bacterial small subunit ribosomal RNA", at positions 29 to 526 of the family's 1533-position model. The record is from RNAcentral.
AUUGAACGCUGGCGGCAGGCCUAACACAUGCAAGUCGAGCGAGCGGCGGACGGGUGAGUAAUGUCUGGGAAACUGCCUGAUGGCGGGGGAUAACUACUGGAAACGGGAGCUAAUACCGCAUACCAUCAGAUGUGCCCAGAUGGGAUUAGCUAUGAGGUGAGGUAACGGCUCACCUAGGCGACGAUCCCUAGCUGGUCUGAGAGGGUGACCAGCCACACUGGAACUGAGACACGGUCCAGACUCCUACGGGAGGCAGCAGUGGGGAAUAUUGCACAAUGGGCGCAAGCCUGAUGGAGCCAUGCCGCGUGUGUGAAGAAGGCCUUCGGGUUGUAAAGCACUGUCAGCGGGGAGGCGUUACCCGCAGAAGAAGCACCGGCUAACUCCGUGCCAGCAGCCGCGGUAAUUC